AUGCUGAAGAUACUUCAAGUUCUUAGUAAGAGUGGGAACAUUCCUGUGGCCUUGCAAAAGACAGCCAAACUCAAGGUGAUUCAUAGUGAAGCUCUCCUUUGUGGGGAUCCUGAAUUAAUCAAAAUAUUUAUGGAGAAAAUAACACAGGUAUCCAACAUCUCAAAAGACAAAAGAGUUUUUUGUUCAAACUUUUUCCAUGGUGUAAUAAGUUUUCACAUUGUGUUUUUUGUUGUUGUUUUAAUGUGGAAAAUUUAAGUAGGUAAGUCAGUUACUAAUUAGUUAUUAAAAAGAAUAGUUGGCAUUGGCAAUGUUAGUAAUUUGGGAAGUUUGCAUCUUUAUGCUGUGUUCUGCUGUAUCUGAUACUAACUGAGAGCUAUUUCCCUUUGCACUAAGAGCAGUGUGUGGCCUAUCUCUUUGCUGUCCCUCUUUCACACCCAGCUGGGGCAUGGCCUACAUCUUUGUCCUGAUAAAGAUUAGUUUAUAAAAAUAGCAGAAAAAGACAAGAAGAGAAGGCAAAAAAAAAGUUGCUGUAACUGCUUAUCUUUUGCUUAUACAGAUACAAAGAACAAGAGGAAUUAUUUAGUAUGGUCUGCUGAGCCAGUACAACAGGAUAAAAAAUGUAAAACAAAAUUAAGAUAUGAAUAUGUGAAAGGAACUGCAUGACAAGGAUAAAGGGAAAGAAAAUUGACUUUGAAAUCCUAUACUAAUGUUCUAAUUUUAUGAUGAAUUAAUACCCAGCAACAAGAGAAAUACAGUCUGUUAUGAACUCCAAAAUGAAAACUCACUCCAAAGUUUUGUCUAAAUCCUACUACCAGUUCAUUGACCUUCCCACUCACUACAAAACACAUUUUCAUUUCUACUUCUUAUCUUUUUAAAAAAUCAUGACUUUUCCAAAAGAAAUGGAAUUUGUGGCCUCAGAUAACAGAGAAUAACAUUCUUGAAGUUCUUGAUGGAAAAUUUAAAUGAGUUUACAAAGAGUAAUAUUAUAAAGGUCAUUGAAACCUAUUUUAUGCUGAAUUUCCCAUUCAGUUUGCCCACAGGGAUUAUGAAACACUCAUCCUGAAAAAGUUCCCUUUCCAAUUUUCUUUUUUAGUUCACAUUUGAGCUUACUUUGAAGAAGACAUGAUUUUUUUUAUAGAUAAAUAGAGUGCCAAAGCAGUGGAAAAAAGUGAAGUAGUUCUUAUUGUUUUCUGAACAUGCCUUAAAAAUUAAAGAUAUUUUUAGGAAGGUCAGAAUGCCUUUGAUGUAUUAGGUACUCUGCUGUUGAGAAGCAGCAUUAGAUUCACUGAAGGCCUGUAUGGAUAAGUCAUGGAUAAGGCAGGAAAGGGAAAGUAUAAGGAAAACUGCUUGGAUAUUGUUAGCAUGUUUCUUCAGAAAGUUGUGUAAUAAUCUGAAUUUUAUUGGUGACCAUGGCCUUAUUUGAACCUUAUUGAUACACUUUGAGGGAGGUUGUGAGUGUAAAGCAUCUUGGACAGUUGGUGUGGUAUUUUUUCCUGGUUCUGUUGAUAGUCCUGCACUUGAAGUGUGUGUCUGUUAGCUGGUGAAAAGAAUGGUCUUCUAUCAUUAGGCAAUAGAAUUGAGCAAGAGAUGACAUCUUGUCCUCUGAUGGAGAAACGAGAUGCUUCUUGGAAAUGCACCAGAAAGUCAAGAAUUUUGAUCAAACAUGAAAACAAAAGGGCUAAAAGGGCUAAAGAACAGCUUCUUUACAGGAGUUUCGGGAUUAUUCACUUUUUUUUUUUUUUUUUUUUUUUCUUUUUUUUACUAAUAUAUUGAGGAGAGAGAUUUUAGAUGAUCAUUUAGAUGAGGAGACUGAUUUUAGAUGGUGCAAAUGGCUUUUUGAGGGGCUUAUCUCCUGCUUUCUUAUAGCAGUGAUAAGUGACCACUAUCAGAGACAGGAUACAGAAGUUUGCAAGUUCCUGUGUAUUUGUUGGUUGUGUUUACAUAAAGUAUACUUUCCCUCUUCAUUGCUUUUAGUUUUAAUGGAGAAAACAAAUCCAAAAAGGCUAAAUAAAAAGCCUGUGUGCCAAAGGAGUACUUCA
This 2039-nucleotide long non-coding RNA is filed under the name Anas platyrhynchos platyrhynchos (common mallard). RNAcentral's name for it is "lncRNA (ENSAPLG00000029367.1)". Lineage: Eukaryota; Metazoa; Chordata; Aves; Anseriformes; Anatidae. The record is from RNAcentral.